AAUCAACGCUGGCGGCGUGCCUAAUACAUGCAAGUCGAGCGAGAAGACGUAGCAAUACGUUUGUAAAGCGGCGAACGGGUGAGGAAUACAUGGGUAACCUACCCUAGAGUGGGGAAUAACUAGCCGAAAGGUUAGCUAAUACCGCGUACGCUCCUUGGACUUCGGUUCAGGGAGGAAAGCGAUGCCGAGGGUAUCGCGCUCUUGGAUGGGCUCAUGUCCUAUCAGCUUGUUGGGAGGUAACGGCUCACCAAGGCUUCGACGGGUAGCUGGUCUGAGAGGACGAUCAGCCACACUGGCACUGCGACACGGGCCAGACUCCUACGGGAGGCAGCAGUGGGGAAUCUUGCGCAAUGGGCGAAAGCCUGACGCAGCGACGCCGCGUGA
RNAcentral lists this ribosomal RNA (384 nucleotides) under uncultured bacterium. Its description in RNAcentral is "bacterial SSU rRNA". It matches the Rfam family "Bacterial small subunit ribosomal RNA", at positions 32 to 404 of the family's 1533-position model. The record is from RNAcentral.